GGGCAGUACCCGGCGGCUCCACCACUUGAGAGGCUUUUCCUAGCUUACUCUCAGGCGGCGGGGCCGAAACAGGAUCGACACGCGCAGUAAAGGCAUUGGACGGCGUCCGGCAUUGUAUCCGCCGUUAUCGGGCUAAAUUUACAAAUGCAAACGAUAACUUUGCGUUCGUAGCCGCUAACGACAACUCUGUUGUCGAAGGCGCAGGUCGCAUUGCUGCCUAAUCGGGCAGUAGCGAUGCUACACUUGAAUCCCUGAUUGUCUAACCACAUUCAGGUGGGGCUUUGGGGUCUGCGCCUCGCAACAGAAGCAGGCCCCU
This 316-nucleotide transfer-messenger RNA is filed under the name Alphaproteobacteria bacterium. RNAcentral describes it as "partial transfer-messenger RNA". It matches the Rfam family "Alphaproteobacteria transfer-messenger RNA", at positions 96 to 355 of the family's 355-position model. Rfam says of the family: Bacterial tmRNA, also known as 10Sa RNA or SsrA, is named for its dual tRNA and mRNA-like properties. Lineage: Bacteria; Pseudomonadati; Pseudomonadota; Alphaproteobacteria. The record is from RNAcentral.